RNAcentral lists this ribosomal RNA (404 nucleotides) under uncultured bacterium. Its description in RNAcentral is "bacterial SSU rRNA". It matches the Rfam family "Bacterial small subunit ribosomal RNA", at positions 355 to 776 of the family's 1533-position model. The record is from RNAcentral.
UUGGGAAUCUUGGACAAUGGGCGAAAGCCUGAUCCAGCCAUGCCGCGUGAGUGAUGAAGGCCUUAGGGUUGUAAAGCUCUUUUACCCGGGAAGAUAAUGACUGUACCGGGAGAAUAAGCCCCGGCUAACUUCGUGCCAGCAGCCGCGGUAAUACGAAGGGGGCUAGCGUUGUUCGGAAUUACUGGGCGUAAAGCGUGCGCAGGCGGUUUCUCAAGUCAGGGGUGAAAGCCCGGAGCUCAACUCCGGAAAUGCCUUUGAAACUGUGAAGCUAGAGUGCGGGAGAGGUGAGUGGAAUUCCCAGUGUAGAGGUGAAAUUCGUAGAUAUUGGGAAGAACACCGGUGGCGAAGGCGGCUCACUGGCCCGUUUCUGACGCUCAUGCACGACAGCGUGGGGAUCAAACAGG